AUGAAUAAAAAUGAAGUGCAUUCCAAUUUUUUAAAAAAAUGUACCGAUAAAGAAAAAAAAAAAAAAAGUGUUCAAUAUAAAAACAGUAGUAGUAAUAACAAUAAAAUGAUAGAGAACAUACCUUUUAAUGUAAACUGUGAAGUAUUUUUACAAAACUUAUUGGUUGGGAAGAAUUAUAUCGAUUUAAAUCUAGAGGUAAACUAUAAUUUAGAAGACAUAAUAGAAAAUAAAGAUAAAGUAAAUGACGCAUUAUUCUUACACAAAUUAAAAAAUAAUAAUAAAUUAAAUAAAAAUAUAACUAAUGAUAAAUACAUAAAAAAUAAUUAUUAUAAUAAUAUAGAUAGCUGCGAUAAUAAUUAUCGUGAUCGUGUGAACAACCGCACUUCUAACAAUGUUAACUAUGUGGGGAAAAAGGAAAGUACACGCUAUGAAAUGAGAAAUAAUGUAAACAAAGUGGGAAGAGUUAAUCAAAAAGAUAACGAUAAUUUAUCUUAUGUUACUGAAAACAUAAUGGGUAACGAUUAUAAAGAUGAUAGUAAUUCUUCUGAUUCGGACAACUCUUAUUGUUCAGAUUUAUCUAAUAGCUCUGCAAAAAAUGAGAGGAUGAAAUGCUUGAAUUUUUCCCAAAGAAUUGCUUACGAUAAUAAUUAUUCUAACAAUUUUAACAUGUAUGAUAAAAUAAUAAGUUCUAAAGAGUAUUUUAAUAACAAUCAAAAAUAUAAUGAUACUAAUUAUAUUACUUCGCAUACACAACAAGAACAAAAAACAAAUAUUAACAAUUUACCAUAUAAUAAAACUAUUAUUUAUAAUAACAAGCGGAAAAAAACGAGGAAUAACAGUGAAGCUGAUGUGUUUUACAAUAAACAGCAAAGUGACACAAAAGAUUUUUAUAAUAGCCAGUUUGAUGUUGAAAACAUGAAGUCAUAUAAAUCUCCUAUUGCAAAUUUUAAAUCCAACGCUGACAAUGAUUAUUUACAUAACAAAAAUAGUUAUAACAACAAUGAUAGCAUCAAAACGUGUAAAAAAAAAAUUGAAGAAGAUAUUUUAAUUACAUAUGAAAAAAUAAUUAAAAUUAUGAAAUAUCUAAGAAAAGCCAAAACAAAACACCCCGAAAUCGAAACAACUGUUUCUGUUCUUUCUAAUCAUGUUAAAAAUGUAACAUUUAAUUGUCAAAAAAUGUUUGAUUCAAGAUAUGAAUUACAGAGUUUUUUAAAAAAAAUGUACAUUUACCUGAUUUUUAUAUUAAAAAAAGUAAUUUUUACAAAAAUAAAAAAUACAAAAGCUGAUAACUCAAAUGAUUGCACGGAUAAAAAUAUUUCUAUACAAAACCUGGAAUAUACUCCAUCACAUCACGAGAAUUUAAGAGAUCAUUCAAAAAUUCCAAACGACCUAAGUAGAGAUUCUAACUUUAUACUACAUCAACUAAGCAAAGACCUAUUUCAAAAGAUACCGAAAAAUUUGUUAUAUAAAAAUGGAACAAAUUAUGAAGAUAAAAACUUUAAUAUUAUGAAUCAAAAAGAAUAUAGUAAAAAACCAUAUGAAGAACCCCAGCAUGAUUAUUUAAACAAUAGCAAUAUCACAAAAAAUGAAAAAAAUUAUGAAUAUAGAAUAUAUAAUACAUAUAAUAGUGAAAUAAAAACAGCUGACUACAAAUACAACAGCGAUAAAAAUAUUAAAGAAAAACCAAAAAAUAGUUAUACCCAACAAACAAAUGAAUAUGCAGCAAAUAAAUAUAAAAAUACAUUCACUAAUCUAACAGAAAGAGAUGCAACUAGAUAUUUCAAUAUUUCUCCAAUGAAAAAUAAAUAUGAGGAGACAACCAAAACUUGUAUAUACAAAAAUGAUGAAAAUAUGGAACAAAGUAAAGAAGACACAGAAGAAGAAACGAAAAAAGCAAAGCAAAUGAGACAAUUUCCCAAAAAAAAUGAGCAACCUUCCGAUUUUAAUUAUGGUUUUAAUAAAAUAAAUCAUAAUUAUAACAAAAAAGACAUAGACGUAAAAAAUAGAGAAAAAUAUGAUGGUAAUGCUGGUGAUGAUGAUGACAAUACAAUAAUUAAAAAAGACCAGUUGCUAACUAAAAAUAUUGAUAGGGUAUAUAAAGAUGGUUGUAAAAAACACACGGGAUCAUCAAAUAGUUACACAAAUAACUAUCGAUUGAAUAAAGAACCUUUAAAUGAACAAAAUAAUAUUGAAAAUAUACACAAUCCAAAAAAUAAGACCAUAUACAAACAAACUUAUACUAUAAAUGAUGUUUUAAAAAAUAACUACUUAAACAUUAUCGAUUUACAAAAAAAAAAUGAAACCAAAAAUAUGUUCUCCAAUACUAAAUUGAGUUUAAAUGCACUUAAUCUAGAGAGUAGUACUGCUCUUGUACGAAACAAUAUGUUGAAAAAUGAAAAAUAUAAAAAUAGUGAUGUAUACGAAAACAAAAAACCUAUAAAAACGUAUGUACUAUAUUAUGAUGUAAAUAAAGAAGUAAAAAUAAUACCGAACAAGGAAUCCAUUAUAGACGCAUUAAAAAAUGUCCUUUUAAAAAGUAUGUACACAUAUAUAUAUUUAAAAAAAAAAUACAACUAAUGAUAAUAUUUAAAAAUUACGAAGACUAUAUACAAAGAUAUAUAUUUUUAAUAGACAUAAAAUAAAAUAAUCUGUAUGUUAUAUACUCGAUAUAGA
Piliocolobus tephrosceles (Ugandan red Colobus) is the source of this 2673-nucleotide long non-coding RNA. NCBI's taxonomy places the organism in Eukaryota, Metazoa, Chordata, Mammalia, Primates, Cercopithecidae. The record is from Ensembl.